Molecule: ribosomal RNA, 473 nt
Filed under: uncultured Magnetococcus sp.
Lineage: Bacteria; Pseudomonadati; Pseudomonadota; Magnetococcia; Magnetococcales; Magnetococcaceae
Description: bacterial SSU rRNA
Rfam family: Bacterial small subunit ribosomal RNA
Source: RNAcentral
UUCGGGUCGCCGGCGAGUGGCAAACGGGUGAGUAACGCGUGGAUACCUGUCCUGUGGUGGGGAAUAACGUUUAGAAAUGAACGCUAAUACCGCAUAAGCCCUGCGGGGGAAAGAUUUAUCGCCAUAGGAGGGGUCCGCGUCGGAUUAGCUAGUUGGUGGGGUAACGGCCUACCAAGGCGACGAUCCGUAGCUGGUCUGAGAGGAUGAUCAGCCACACUGGGACUGAGACACGGCCCAGACUCCUACGGGAGGCAGCAGUGGGGAAUAUUGCGCAAUAGAGGAAACUCUGACGCAGCGACGCCGCGUGGGUGAAGAAGGCCUUAGGGUUGUAAAGCCCUUUCAGUGGGAAAGAUGAUGACGGUACCCACAGAAGAAGCCCCGGCUAACUCCGUGCCAGCAGCCGCGGUAAUACGGAGGGGGCCAGCGUUGUUCGGAAUUACUGGGCGUAAAGGGCGCGUAGGCGGUUGAUCAAG